AUGGACGAAAGUCUGACCGAGCAACGCCGCGUGAGUGAAGAAGGUUUUCGGAUCGUAAAGCUCUGUUGUAAGUCAAGAACGUGUGUGAGAGUGGAAAGUUCACACAGUGACGGUAGCUUACCAGAAAGGGACGGCUAACUACGUGCCAGCAGCCGCGGUAAUACGUAGGUCCCGAGCGUUGUCCGGAUUUAUUGGGCGUAAGGGGAGCGCAGGCGGUCAGGAAAGUCUGGAGUAAAAGGCUACGGCUCAACCAUAGUGUGCUCUGGAAACUGUCUGACUUGAGUGCAGAAGGGGAGAGUGGAAUUCCAUGUGUAGCGGUGAAAUGCGUAGAUAUAUGGAGGAACACCAGUGGCGAAAGCGGCUCUCUGGUCUGUCACUGACGCUGAGGCUCGAAAGCGUGGGUAGCGAACAGGAUUAGAUACCCUGGUAGUCCACGCCGUAAACGAUGAGUGCUAGGUGUUAGGCCCUUUCCGGGGCUUAGUGCCGGAGCUAACGCAAUAAGCACUCCGCCUGGGGAGUACGACCGCAAGGUUGAAACUCAAAGGAAUUGACGGGGGCCCGCACAAGCGGUGGAGCAUGUGGUUUAAUUCGAAGCAACGCGAAGAACC
RNAcentral lists this ribosomal RNA (608 nucleotides) under Streptococcus mutans. Its description in RNAcentral is "bacterial SSU rRNA". It matches the Rfam family "Bacterial small subunit ribosomal RNA", at positions 371 to 970 of the family's 1533-position model. The record is from RNAcentral. Lineage: Bacteria; Bacillati; Bacillota; Bacilli; Lactobacillales; Streptococcaceae.